Molecule: ribosomal RNA, 710 nt
Filed under: Escherichia coli
Lineage: Bacteria; Pseudomonadati; Pseudomonadota; Gammaproteobacteria; Enterobacterales; Enterobacteriaceae
Description: bacterial SSU rRNA
Rfam family: Bacterial small subunit ribosomal RNA
Source: RNAcentral
UGCCUAACACAUGCAAGUCGAACGGUAACAGGAAGCAGCUUGCUGCUUUGCUGACGAGUGGCGGACGGGUGAGUAAUGUCUGGGAAACUGCCUGAUGGAGGGGGAUAACUACUGGAAACGGUAGCUAAUACCGCAUAACGUCGCAAGACCAAAGAGGGGGACCUUCGGGCCUCUUGCCAUCGGAUGUGCCCAGAUGGGAUUAGCUAGUAGGUGGGGUAACGGCUCACCUAGGCGACGAUCCCUAGCUGGUCUGAGAGGAUGACCAGCCACACUGGAACUGAGACACGGUCCAGACUCCUACGGGAGGCAGCAGUGGGGAAUAUUGCACAAUGGGCGCAAGCCUGAUGCAGCCAUGCCGCGUGUAUGAAGAAGGCCUUCGGGUUGUAAAGUACUUUCAGCGGGGAGGAAGGGAGUAAAGUUAAUACCUUUGCUCAUUGACGUUACCCGCAGAAGAAGCACCGGCUAACUCCGUGCCAGCAGCCGCGGUAAUACGGAGGGUGCAAGCGUUAAUCGGAAUUACUGGGCGUAAAGCGCACGCAGGCGGUUUGUUAAGUCAGAUGUGAAAUCCCCGGGCUCAACCUGGGAACUGCAUCUGAUACUGGCAAGCUUGAGUCUCGUAGAGGGGGUAGAAUUCCAGGUGUACCGUGAAUGCGUAGAGAUCUGGAGGAAUACCGUGGCGAAGCGCCCCUGGACAAAAACUGACCUCAGUG